RNAcentral lists this ribosomal RNA (311 nucleotides) under uncultured Glomeromycotina. RNAcentral's name for it is "partial large subunit ribosomal RNA". It matches the Rfam family "Eukaryotic large subunit ribosomal RNA", at positions 289 to 612 of the family's 3401-position model. Lineage: Eukaryota; Fungi; Glomeromycota. The record is from RNAcentral.
UUUGGGGAGGUAAUUUCUCCUAAGGCUAAAUACGGGCGAGAGACCGAUAGCGAACAAGUACCGUGAGGGAAAGAUGAAAAGAACUUUGAAAAGAGAGUUAAACAGUACGUGAAAUUGUUGAAAGGGAAACGAUUGAAGCCAGUCGUACCUUCGGGUAAUCAGCCUUUUGGGUGCGAUUCUGUGGAGUUUGAGGAGCUUAACACCUUCAUGCUUUGCAUAUUCGUGCUCUUGGGUGUACUUGCCCGUGUGGUUGGUUAACAUCAAUUUUGGGGGUCAUAAAAUGACUGGAGGAAUGAUGCUUUCCAUAAAAA